AGGAUGAACGCUGGCGGUCUGCUUAACACAUGCAAGUCGAACGGGCGUAGCAAUACGUUAGUGGCGGACGGGUGAGUAACGCGUGAGAAUCUACCUUCAGGACGGAGACAACAGUUGGAAACGACUGCUAACCCCCGAUGUACUGAAAAGGCAAAUAUUUAUAGCCUGAAGAAGAGCUCGCGUCCGAUUAGCUAGUUGGAGAGGUAAAAGCUCACCAAGGCGACGAUCGGUAGCUGGUCUGAGAGGACGAUCAGCCACACUGGGACUGAGACACGGCCCAGACUCCUACGGGAGGCAGCAGUGGGGAAUUUUCCGCAAUGGGCGAAAGCCUGACGGAGCAAGACCGCGUGGGGGAAGAAGGCUCUUGGGUUGUAAACCCCUUUUCUUUGGGAGAAAGUUGUGAAAGCAGCCUGACGGUACCAGAGGAAUCAGCAUCGGCUAACUCCGUGCCAGCAGCCGC
Molecule: ribosomal RNA, 460 nt
Filed under: uncultured bacterium
Lineage: Bacteria
Description: SSU rRNA
Rfam family: Bacterial small subunit ribosomal RNA
Source: RNAcentral